GUGAGGAAUUUUCCGCAAUGGGCGAAAGCCUGACGGAGCAAUGCCGCGUGAAGGAUGAAGGCCUAUGGGUUGUAAACUUCUUUUCUCAGAAAAGAAUUAUGACGGUAUCUGAGGAAUAAGCAUCGGCUAACUCUGUGCCAGUAGCCGCGGUAAGACAGAGGAUGCAAGCGUUAUCCGGAAUGAUUGGGCGUAAAGCGUCUGUAGGUUGUUUAAAAAGUAUUCUGUCAAAGAUUAGGGCUUAACCCUAGAUAGGCAGAAUAAACUUUUAAGCUAGAGUUUGGUAGAGGCAGAGGGAAUUCCCGGUGGAGCGGUGAAAUGCGUAGAUAUCGGGAGGAACACCAAAGGCGAAGGCACUCUGCUGGGCCAAUACUAACACUGAGAGACGAAAGCGAGGGGAGCAAAUGGGAUUAGAAACCCCAGUAGUCC
Molecule: ribosomal RNA, 426 nt
Filed under: uncultured bacterium
Lineage: Bacteria
Description: partial 16S ribosomal RNA
Rfam family: Bacterial small subunit ribosomal RNA
Source: RNAcentral